Chroicocephalus ridibundus (black-headed gull) is the source of this 2561-nucleotide long non-coding RNA. RefSeq lists it as uncharacterized. The record is from RefSeq and is a predicted model, not a curated record. The transcript is spliced from 4 exons. NCBI's taxonomy places the organism in Eukaryota, Metazoa, Chordata, Aves, Charadriiformes, Laridae.
ACUCCUGCAAAGAGGAAGAAAAAGAAAAAUGUUGAGAGAUCAGAGUUGAUUCUUGGUAUUCUUCUACCUGGAAAGCAAACAUUUUGUCUUGGAUCCUGCCACCUCUGAAACCAAGCACGAACCUCGCUGACUUCAAGAGGCACCAGGACAGCCCUAGAUGAAAGCCAGAGAAAAUGAUGCAGAAAAUGAAGAAAUUCUGGGGGGAAAAAAAAGGUCACUUGAACACCACAGAAUCCAUGAAAAGCUUUCAGCUAAAAUACAGGCAAACAGCCGUGCAAAUUUUUAUCUUACCCCAUCUCUUUCCUUCUUUGUAUCAAGUGGGAUGAAAAUUCUUGCUUUUUUUUUUUUACACCAUAAGAAACUACUUUAUCUUCUAAACACUGGCACACUGAGCACUCACGUGGCCAGCACAGCAGUAACAACAGCAGAGCUUUGCACCCCGGGGGCUGAGGUGAACGGGGCAGCCCAGGGUACUCCUAAGAAGAUGGAGCUAACAUGGCUUCAGGGACAGACUGGCCACAAGAGAUGCCAACGAGCCUAAGAGCAGACCCCUGGCACCAAGUAAAAACAGACACAAGGUGAAACUGAGAUCGAGAUUUCCUGCCUUUUCAAAGACAAAGCAGCUCCUGAUGAAGUGGUCAUGGAACAAGGAAGAAGAGGGUGGAAUGGGAGUGCAGAGCUACCAGCUGCACACCACAACAAGUAAUCUCCCUCCUCCAAGGCCUUGGAUAACACUAACACCCAUCUGAGGCUUGUCUCUAUUUUUCAAGGCUUUAGCAUCAUUUGUGCAGGCACCUGUCACUGUUACUCAGCAUCAUUGUGAAUUGAGGAAAUUAUUUUAAAAUGCGACCUUCAGCUUGGCGUAGCCUGGGUGGCAGAAGGAGAAAGGAGCCCCUCAGUCUAGCAAGGAGCAGUCCAAUGGGAGCCCAGUGUUACGUGACAGAGCUGUACAUGCUCUGAUGCCAAGCAAGAGGUCAGCCAUAGCCUAAAGCUGGGUAGCAUCUAGAGAAAAAUGUUUGUGAAGAAGCCGGGAAUAACCUCAACCCUCAAUUGUUAUCUUUUUAAAAUCACAGGGAAGGGCACAGGGAAGUGCCCCAAGGCACACGACUGCAUGGGUCACCUAAAGAUACCAAAGUGCGUCACUCAUCAAAAGGCUCUGGGAUGCAACUAGCUCUUACACACAUCUCAGGAGAGGGAAAGCAAAGCACAGAAGGUGCCCACGGCAGCCCAGGUGCAGAAAUGACACUGCUGCCAGCCAGCCUCUCUGCUCUGCUGGCUCCGCCCAGCUCCCACAGCUCCAGCUGACCUACAGCUGGGGCAGGACACGUCCAUGGACGAGAAGAAUAAAGACGUUUGAGGGAAAGAAGAUCAGAAGAGAAUUUUUAUGGUUGAGAUGUCUCAGGAGGGACACUGUCAGGCUAGUCUGGAUAGAUGCAAAAUGUUCUCCAGAGAAAGUGCAGAUCUAGUCAGCCCACAGAGUUCCUCAAGCCAACUGGGAUGAACGGCGCGCGGCGUUCCUGAGCAGCAGUAAGUGCGCGGCGCAGGCUAGCACAGAGGGAAGCGGUCCACCCUGUACUGUGGCUCCUGCACCCGUCCCUGCUGCUGCCCAGGGCCUCCACCGAGGGUUAAAUUUCUGCUGAGGGAUCAUGCUGUAUAGUGACGUUUUCCAGACUCCAACUCCCCUCCGGGCCAGCCUUUAUGCGUGUCACUAUUAUGAGCUGGAAUUUACAGGGCAGUAAGAAGCCUCCAGUGCCUUCCCUUCUCAUAGUCUACCUGCUCUACAUCCUCCUAUAUUUAGCCGACAGAGCUGUUACUUCAGUCCAUGCCGACAGAUGGGAAGAGGGUAUGAAUUCAGUGGAAAUAGGUUAGUCACCGGGAUUUCAAUUUUUUUAUCCUAAAAAUUGAAGAGUAGCGAGAAGGAAUUUGGGGUUGGAUUUGGAACCCGCUGUGGUGCAAAGGAAACUUUCUAAGGAAGGAAGAGCAUAUAAAAACGAGAAAUUAACACAAAUAUGUAGAGUCCUCCUGACAGGAAGGUGUUUCUGACUGUUCACAGAAUGGACAGCAAACUCCCUGCAUCCAAAGCACUUGCUCCUUUCCCAUAAAGCCUUAGUGGGCCCAAAAUUUGAUGAUUUUCCUGCCCCUCAGCUGCCAGUGGGACCUCUGGACUCUUCUCCCCCAAGCUCCACUCUUAAGUACUUAGACUUAAUUUUUCCUUGCUUUUCCUUUCUUUCCCUGCUUACUGCAGGGGGGUUGGGACUAGAUGACCUUUAGCGGUCCCUUCCAACCCAAGACAUUCUAUGAUUCUAAUGCCAAGGACAGGACAUACGCAGAGGGGGUUUUCCCCCACCUCGAUUCACUUCACUCACUGGGAUAAACCAGCACAGCAUACAAACUAGCUGUUUAUAUGUUUCAUUGCUGUGCUCAUAGCAUCUGCCUACCAUUAGCAUUUAAUUGAGCGUUACUACAGAAACAACGCAGGCAGGUUUCCACAGCAGGGCAACGUCACCCUGAACACCCACUGCAGCAGGCAGGGCACAGGCAGGGCACAGGCAGGGGAGAAA